This 85-nucleotide transfer RNA is filed under the name Harpalyce brasiliana. RNAcentral describes it as "tRNA-Leu". It matches the Rfam family "tRNA". From Rfam's summary of the family: Transfer RNA (tRNA) molecules are approximately 80 nucleotides in length. RNAcentral also lists the same sequence under 3 other names. The record is from RNAcentral. Lineage: Eukaryota; Viridiplantae; Streptophyta; Magnoliopsida; Fabales; Fabaceae.
GGGGAUAUGGCGAAAUUGGUAGACGCUGCGGACUUAAAAUCCGUUGACUUUAGAAAUCGUGAGGGUUCAAGUCCCUCUAUCCCCA